GGUCCUAUACAAUCAACUAGUCAUUAACCUAGCAGGGCCUCUCGGCCUUCCACUAACCUAAUGAGUCGGCAAAAACUACUUAUCUUUCGACCUAACAAUCCAAACCAGAUUUGGGUUAGGUUUUCACAUAUAGGGAAUACCAAUUUUGGGUUGAUUCCCAGCUAUUAGACUUCCUAGGGUCGUCAAGCCUAUCUCUCAUUAACGAAUUAGUUCCCUAUGGAUUUAACAAACAUCGUAAACUUGAGUAAAAAGAUAAAAAACUAAAAAGACAAAUAUUAGAAAUAAAUCAAGAAGAGAGUUUAGAAAAAUUAUGAUAUAUUAAUAGUAGUGCGAACAAUAAUUAGCCAAAUAGUUUAGUGAAUCGACAAUCUGAAUUCCACGAAGAACGAAAUAAACUAACUAGAAUCACAAUUAAAUAGAAACAGGAAUUACAAAUAGAGAAUAAAACUAAGUAGGAAACAAAAAAUAAAAAUUAAGUAAAAUUGUUCAUAAACUAAGCAGAGCAAUCCAAUUUAUAGCCCUAGGGUUGUCCAUCGGUUCUUGACCUAAUUUGGCUGACUAUUUCUUGCUAAAAUUUGUUGUGUGGACGAAAACACCUUUGACUCAUUAAUUGGCCUCGUCACAUCGGUGUCGAAACACCCUAUAGCCUAUUUUGCUACACUGAUUGCAGUAUACUAGUCUUGGGCAUGUCUUCAGGGCUUUUUCGCAACACUCUCUGGCUCGAAGGUAGUCUGCUCCUUUUGAAUACUUUGUUCACUAGGUUGCGACAUCGAAACUCCUUAUUGUAACAUCGUGGGCAGUCUACUAUUUAAAAUAAAUAGUUCAAUGUCUGAGUUGAUGCUUUGCAUGUCAGGUCUAGUCUUAGUUAUGAGGGUUACCUAAACUGUAUAAGACAAAAGGAGUGAGCUUAUGAAAGCUCAGUGUGAGUCAACUUAAGAUACAAUCAGAAAAAUAAUCAAAAGCGUAUAACAAUCAUCAAAAUCAUUUUAGAUUAGUACAUGGAAAAACAAAUCAGUGUAUGAGCAUGUAAUAUGUAUGAUGCGAUGCAAAAAGAUUCCUACCCAACCAUCCGCUACACACCACAAGUUCCCCAAAACCCGUCUACAAAACUCCAAAUAGUGGGAGACAAAGCUCGACGUGGAUAAACCACCAAUCAUUAAUGUAGAUAAGCUGACAGUAAAAUACAGACAAGCUGCCGGUAAUGUGGACUUGCCACCAAUGUCAGCAAUGCAGUUAAACUGCCAAUAAUGUGAUUAAAUCACUCAAUCUUUCGAUACUCUAGGUGCAGUAUACUGACUCAAUAUUGCAGACUUUAAUUACUAUCGGCACUGAACAGAACUCCUCUGUCAUCAACAAAACCAAACCCAAUGCAAAUGCAAAAUUUCAUAUUAUUAAAACUAGUGGAAUAUGAACAUGCUUUCAAUAAAUUUAGUGCCAUGCAUAAAAUGUAACAUAAACACCCACAUAACAAUAUCAGUCAUGGCUACUUCACAAGCACAUCAAAAAGUAUCUCAAUUUUUAGCAUGUUUUCCAUGCGUCCAAUGAUUAAUAUUCAUCACGCGUUAAACAAUAUGGAGUAUUUCACAACAUACAUAAAAUCGACCAAAAUAAUGGCACAUACUCAUGCAGUGUAUACAUCUUAUACACAAUCAUACAAUCACAAAUAGGGCCUCUAACAAUCAGCUUUACCAUUUAAGUACAUACCUUGCUCGAUAAUUUUUUUAUAUGUUUUUAGGCCAUUCGACCAUGCCACAUCCAGCAAGCAUAUAUUACCAAUUUUUAAUCAUAAAAUAUUAAUCUAAGGCUAAUUACACAAAAGAAAGACCUACACCUUAGUUUCGAAGCCCACAGCACUAAACUGUAAAAUCCGCACUUUCGCUUUUAAGCCUUAAAUGAACCUAAAUAUAGAAAAAAGCAUUUAGCACUUCAAAAUAAGGUUAAUGAACAACCUUGAAACACCCCUAAAGGUUAGACCAAAGAGGUGUUAGGAGCACAAAUUUUUAGAUUUUAAAUAUUGAGCGUACUUACACUGAUUUGAUGCGAAACGGAUAUGCGAACGAGAUCCGACUUUACUACUGCUCCAGGAUGUUUCGAUCAGCACCUAUGAUUAAAAUAUUACUCAAAAUAAGUAACCCAUAACCAAUUAAAGACCUUAGAUCAAUUGGCCAAAACAACGACCAUUAACAAAAUAAAAUUGACAUAAGAGUUCGCUUAAAUCCGUAUUUUCACUUGAACAUUAAUGUUCUCACUGUUACUAUACUUGAGAUGUCGAUUGAACAAGACCGGAUGCACUUUCAAUUGGCAAGGUUAGGGGUUGUAUUAACAGUGGAAAAAGUGAGGAAAACCAAUAAUGUGGUGCAGCAAAAGGAACAAAUAAAUAAUAACACAAAAUUAGUGUUCAAAGGGACAACACACCUCUACAAAAGGCAGCAAUAAGAGGUUGAUUUAGGUGGGUUAAAGAGAGAUUUUUGGGAAGCAAUGGGAUGGUUUAAAUGACUGAAAUAAAAAUGAAGUGGUUAGAAAAAUAGUAGCAAGAAUCGUCAAUCACAGACUAAAGGAGAAGUGAAUAAAAAAGAUCAAAAUGACACCACCACAAGUAGAAGGGAUUAGACGACAAUGGAGGUUAAAUUGGCAGCAAGGUGGAGCAAUUUUUGGUAACAAAAAAAUAGUAUAAUGGCUUGAAAAAUGGUAGCAAAACUGUAGGAAUAAAAGAGAAAAUGGAUGACACAAGGAAACUAAUGAAGAAAAAAAAUGAGAAAUAUUGAGAAAGGAAAGGGGUUAGGCAGCAAGACUAAGAAGAAAAAUGUGAAAUGGCUGUAUAAUGAAUGAAAAUUUUGUAUUUAAACCUAGAUUUUCUUACUCGUUUGGACGACACAACAUAGGGGAGUGGGAGAAAAAAUAGAAAAUUAAUUUAUUUGUUUGGGAACGGACUUGAACUUGG
RNAcentral lists this long non-coding RNA (2941 nucleotides) under Gossypium barbadense (sea-island cotton). RNAcentral describes it as "long non-coding RNA (GBAR_LNC019224)". Lineage: Eukaryota; Viridiplantae; Streptophyta; Magnoliopsida; Malvales; Malvaceae. The record is from RNAcentral.